GGAUGUGAGGGUGAUCUGGCUGCGACAUGUGUCACCCCACUGAUCGCCAGGGUUGAUUCGGCUGAUGCGGCUGGCUAGGCAGGUGUCCCCUUCCUCUCCGCUCCAUGUGCAUCCCUCUCGAAGCUGCGCGCUGGUGGAAGAGGACGACCACCCCGAUAGAGGAGGGUAUAGGAGUAGGUGUGCUCCCCUGCUAGAACCUCCAAACAAGCUCUCAAGAAAGUGAAAAGAGGGUCAGGGAUUUAGCUCAGUGGUUCCAC
Non-coding RNA from Fukomys damarensis (Damara mole-rat), 257 nucleotides. The record is from Rfam. Lineage: Eukaryota; Metazoa; Chordata; Mammalia; Rodentia; Bathyergidae.